UACGAAGGGGGCUAGCGUUGCUCGGAAUCACUGGGCGUAAAGGGUGCGUAGGCGGGUCUUUAAGUCAGGGGUGAAAUCCUGGAGCUCAACUCCAGAAAUGCCUUUGAUACUGAGAAGCUUGAGUCCGGGAGAGGUGAGUGGAACUGCGAGUGUAGAGGUGAAAUUCGUAGAUAUUCGCAAGAACACCAGUGGCGAAGGCGGCUCACUGGCCCGGUACUGACGCUGAGGUGCGAAAGCGUGGGGAGCAAACAGG
Molecule: ribosomal RNA, 253 nt
Filed under: uncultured bacterium
Lineage: Bacteria
Description: partial 16S ribosomal RNA
Rfam family: Bacterial small subunit ribosomal RNA
Source: RNAcentral